This is a non-coding RNA of Anas platyrhynchos (mallard), 1912 nucleotides long. The record is from RefSeq and is a predicted model, not a curated record. Lineage: Eukaryota; Metazoa; Chordata; Aves; Anseriformes; Anatidae.
CCUCCUCCUUUAUAUGGACCAGAGCAGCCACUUGAAUCUCCCUUAGGAGAUGUUCCCGUGUUGCUGUGAGGCUUUGCUCCUGUAUUUCUUUGCCACGAGUUGCCCUGGCCUGGUUUCACCCAGCUCCAGGCUCCCCGGUCCCCCUGGCAGAAAGGUCUCCUUCGCCAGCACCUCCUCGCUCUUCAGCUUCCGCGUCCUUCAGCUCCUGUCACAGCUGCAACAACUCUGCGUGGCUGGGAGACAACGAAAUCUUGUUCUGCCUCAGCGGGAAGUAGUGGGAAAGUCUGAUACCUUGUACAGCAUCCCCGUCAGCUGCAAGCAGGACACAGCCCUGGGAACACGGACAUCACCGUGCUAACCACGUGCGUUCACCUGUCCCCAGUGACACUGUCUCCAAAUUAUGGGAUUUCUAAAAAGCAGGAGAGGAGCCGUGUGUCCUAUCUCAUCCUUCCUAUCAUAUAGGAUCGUGCAAGUACUCAUAGCCGGACUGCGCGAAAUGCUGCGUAUUGUUCUGUAGGCAUUCUGCUACUCGCAGUGUAAAAGUGAUCCAAAAAUAUUAAUAGGUAUCUGUACUUGGGCAGUACAAAUCAGCUGACAGCGCUGCAGCGAGGUACUGUUUGUUAAUCGGUUGAUGCUUCUGUAACAAAUGUUAGGAAAAAAUGAUGGCUAGCCCUUGGAUUCGGAGCUGUGAUCCUUUAAAAAACAUCUCGGCUCCUGGAACUGCUGGAUGCUUUGUGAAGGAAUAGUUGCUAUGUACUUCCACUUGUGCAACUUGACAACUUUGCAACAAAAUACUUUUAAAGUGUGAUUGCUUUGUAUCACAGAUGUAUCCAUAGCCCUCUUGUGAAGCAAAGGAAAUAAUUUGAUAAAAUGCCAAAAUGCCAGAGCUUUCAAACAGAUUAGCGCUUACUGCUUCUGUUAGCACAGCAGCGUACGUACUUCUAGUUAAAUAUUAAAAGCAACUAGUAAGCAGUUGGCUACGGCAUCUUUCCAUGAAGUAUUUGUUAGUUUCUAAACGUGGCUGUUCAAGUAUUUAAUGCCUCUGCUCUAGACGCGGUUCAAAAUGCCAUUUACUUGCUGCGGCAUACGGCAGUGUCUUGUUUAUUUCGUAAACAGUGAUGAGAGUUAGCAAAGGAAGUCAGAAAGUUAUCCCUCAGAGGAUUCUUGCUUUGCUCUGGCAGCUGGUGCCAGGCUCUGGGCUCGGUGCAGGCAGGAGGGCAGCACGCAGCCCUCCCCCCGUGGCACGGCGCUGAUCGCCCGCUGCUGCCUCGCAGAACUCUCCGUGGCCAGGAGUUGAAUUUCUGCAAGGUCUCUGCUUAAUUCAGCCUCUUUCAUUUCAAGCAAACAAGCUGGAGUAAAUUAAAAUGUAAUACUUAGGACAUAAGAAAUGGAAGCUGUAGUAUUAUUAUAAUAUUUUGGCAUAAAUGGUAUUUUUCCUGGGGGGCGGGGGGAAGACAGGAAAAUAACUGUUGCAGCAGGGGCUGCAAAGCACCUUCACCCUGUUCCAGCAGGAUCCCCUGAGCAAAGAGAAGUCAGCAGAGCAUGAAGACAACCCCAGGUUGUCCCGUGUGACUGUUGAGCUCACGAGGGGGUCUGGUGCAGGCUCUGGAGCACAGUUAGUGCUGCGUGAGGAAGGCAAAUCCCACUUCACCAUGCCUGCUCUGCCACUUACUGACGGGAGAGUUUUGUUACCGGUACCAGUUCCUGAUUUUAUUUAUUUAUUUAUUCGUUUAUUUUAAAUAAAGUGACUGUAGGGCAUGCUUUGUUGUUACAGUAAGUGCUGUUCCUAAUAUAUGGACUGGGCACUUGUUGUCUUUGGAGGGAGAGAAAGAAUGCUGGAAGGAAUAUUUCUGUGAUAAAACACCAUGGUUUUAGUUUAGGUUUAGGUGAAAGGCCUAACUUGUGCAAAUCA